GCGCAAAUGGUUUAGUGGUAAAAUCCAUCGUUGCCAUCCGAUUAUCCAGUAUCAUCAGUUGAUUCGAUGGGCCCCCGGUUCGAUUCCGGGUUUGCGCA
This is a non-coding RNA of Coniella lustricola, 98 nucleotides long. Lineage: Eukaryota; Fungi; Ascomycota; Sordariomycetes; Diaporthales; Schizoparmaceae. The record is from the annotation of a GenBank genome assembly.